CGGAUCGUAAAGCUCUGUUGUUAGGGAAGAACAAGUACCGUUCGAAUAGGGCGGUACCUUGACGGUACCUAACCAGAAAGCCACGGCUAACUACGUGCCAGCAGCCGCGGUAAUACGUAGGUGGCAAGCGUUGUCCGGAAUUAUUGGGCGUAAAGGGCUCGCAGGCGGUUUCUUAAGUCUGAUGUGAAAGCCCCCGGCUCAACCGGGGAGGGUCAUUGGAAACUGGGGAACUUGAGUGCAGAAGAGGAGAGUGGAAUUCCACGUGUAGCGGUGAAAUGCGUAGAGAUGUGGAGGAACACCAGUGGCGAAGGCGACUCUCUGGUCUGUAACUGACGCUGAGGAGCGAAAGCGUGGGGAGCGAACAGGAUUAGAUACCCUGGUAGUCCACGCCGUAAACGAUGAGUGCUAAGUGUUAGGGGGUUUCCGCCCCUU
This 432-nucleotide ribosomal RNA is filed under the name Bacillus subtilis. RNAcentral describes it as "bacterial SSU rRNA". It matches the Rfam family "Bacterial small subunit ribosomal RNA", at positions 419 to 841 of the family's 1533-position model. Lineage: Bacteria; Bacillati; Bacillota; Bacilli; Caryophanales; Bacillaceae. The record is from RNAcentral.